Molecule: small nucleolar RNA, 133 nt
Organism: Zalophus californianus (California sea lion)
Lineage: Eukaryota; Metazoa; Chordata; Mammalia; Carnivora; Otariidae
Gene: SNORA72
Rfam family: Small nucleolar RNA SNORA72
About the family: U72 is a member of the H/ACA class of snoRNAs. The snoRNA gene is located in intron 4 of the ribosomal L30 protein gene in human, mouse and chicken.
Source: Ensembl
CGGUAACAACAGCAGCUGGCAACUUGUUAGAAACGCAGUUUCCAGGCUACACAUUCGUGAUAUUAAGACCGUGCCUGUGUCGCCAGGCCUUGGUCCUUCCCCAGGUCUGGUUUUAUAAACACUGGUGACCAAC